RNAcentral lists this ribosomal RNA (256 nucleotides) under uncultured Actinomycetales bacterium. RNAcentral's name for it is "partial 16S ribosomal RNA". It matches the Rfam family "Bacterial small subunit ribosomal RNA", at positions 77 to 334 of the family's 1533-position model. Lineage: Bacteria; Bacillati; Actinomycetota; Actinomycetes; Actinomycetales. The record is from RNAcentral.
CUUUUGUGGGGUGCUCGAGUGGCGAACGGGUGAGUAACACGUGAGUAACCUGCCCUUGACUUUGGGAUAACUUCAGGAAACUGGGGCUAAUACCGGAUAGGAGCUCCUGCUGCAUGGUGGGGGUUGGAAAGUUUCGGCGGUUGGGGAUGGACUCGCGGCUUAUCAGCUUGUUGGUGGGGUAGUGGCUUACCAAGGCUUUGACGGGUAGCCGGCCUGGGAGGGUGACCGGCCACAUUGGGACUGAGAUACGGCCCAG